GAUGAACGCUGGCGGCGUGCUUAACACAUGCAAGUCGAACGGAAAGGCCCAAGCUUGCUUGGGUACUCGAGUGGCGAACGGGUGAGUAACACGUGGGUGAUCUGCCCUGCACUUCGGGAUAAGCCUGGGAAACUGGGUCUAAUACCGGAUAGGACGAUGGUUUGGAUGCCAUUGUGGAAAGUUUUUUCGGUGUGGGAUGAGCUCGCGGCCUAUCAGCUUGUUGGUGGGGUAAUGGCCUACCAAGGCGUCGACGGAUAGCCGGCCUGAGAGGGUGUACGGCCACAUUGGGACUGAGAUACGGCCCAGACUCCUACGGGAGGCAGCAGUGGGGAAUAUUGCACAAUGGGCGCAAGCCUGAUGCAGCGACGCCGCGUGGGGGAUGACGGCCUUCGGGUUGUAAACUCCUUUCGCUAGGGACGAAGCGUUUUUGUGACGGUACCUGGAGAAGAAGCACCGGCUAACUACGUG
This 468-nucleotide ribosomal RNA is filed under the name uncultured bacterium. Its description in RNAcentral is "partial 16S ribosomal RNA". It matches the Rfam family "Bacterial small subunit ribosomal RNA", at positions 28 to 507 of the family's 1533-position model. The record is from RNAcentral.